This is a non-coding RNA of Triticum urartu, 86 nucleotides long. The record is from Rfam. NCBI's taxonomy places the organism in Eukaryota, Viridiplantae, Streptophyta, Magnoliopsida, Poales, Poaceae.
GGUUCGAGUCGAACGCAGUGAGACAGCGUUGCCAGUGGCAACGACCCGUAGGGCGAGCGUAGCAAGUCAUUCUGCACGACCCACCA